GAAAUGCGAUAAGUAAUGUGAAUUGCAGAAUUCAGUGAAUCGUCGAAUCUUUGAACGCACAUUGCGCCCGCCAGUACUCUGGCGGGCAUGCCUGUUCGAGCGUCAUUUCAACCAUCAAGCCCCCGGCUUGUGUUGGGGACCUGCGGCUGCCCGCAGGCCCUGAAAAACAGUGGCGGGCUCGCUGUCACACCGAGCGUAGUAGCAUACAUUCUCGCUCAGGGCGUGCUGCGGGUUCCGGCCGUUAAACGACCUUCAUAACCCAAGGUUGACCUCGGAUCAGGUAGGAAGACCCGCUGAACUUAAGC
RNAcentral lists this unclassified non-coding RNA (305 nucleotides) under plant metagenome. RNAcentral describes it as "partial contains 5.8S ribosomal RNA, internal transcribed spacer 2, and large subunit ribosomal RNA". The stretch from base 1 to 105 matches the Rfam family "5.8S ribosomal RNA", at positions 50 to 154 of the family's 154-position model. The record is from RNAcentral.